AAAACGGUGAGCAAACCACAAUGACUCCGAAGAGUGGGAACACCAAAUGCAGGCUCUUUGAAACUUCCAGGAGUCUCAGGAGGCCAAGAAGAUAUCAGAUCCCUUGGAACUGGAAUUACAGAUAGUUGUGAGCCACCAUGUGUAUCAUGAGAAUGGAACUCAGGUCCUCUGGAAGAGCAGCCACUACACCACUUCUCCAGUCCUUGAUUUGAGUUUUUUGCUGUCCAUGAACUGAAGAUAUUCAACAAGUUUUAGAGACAUUAAUUUGCCACUGUUGCAUAAAAUCUUUAUCAAAAAUAAAAGUUUAUUAUAAAUAUCAAAUGUGUUUUAAACAAUGAAAUAUAAUCUUUUGGUUCCAUUGAUUGUCCUAUAAUUUUAUGUAUGAUGUUUGCUGAAAUUUUUAAAGAAAUAAGGAAAACAAUGUAUUUGCAUUUAGAUUUGGUCACCAGCAAAGAGCAAUCUCGUAAUUCAUUUUGCUUGAAACACAUCUUUUUGGAAUGUGACUUUGGAAAUUUUUAU
Long non-coding RNA from Myodes glareolus (Bank vole), 519 nucleotides. RefSeq lists it as uncharacterized. The record is from RefSeq and is a predicted model, not a curated record. Lineage: Eukaryota; Metazoa; Chordata; Mammalia; Rodentia; Cricetidae.